This 2238-nucleotide long non-coding RNA is filed under the name Nasonia vitripennis (jewel wasp). RNAcentral describes it as "uncharacterized LOC116417158". Lineage: Eukaryota; Metazoa; Arthropoda; Insecta; Hymenoptera; Pteromalidae. The record is from RNAcentral.
UUACCUUCAAGACAUUCUGCAGAAGUUGCCAAACGUAUUUUUGGCACGAAAGUCAAUAAAUACUGAAUCUGGCAUGUGUGUAUCGACGUAUUCGCAUUAUAAGACUGCACUUGUAAGUAUAGAGGUACUCGACCAGCUUCAGGUGUGCUCAAUGAGGUAUUGUUCAUUAUUCUUUUAGAAUCCCUGACGUGUUUAGCCAAUAAGUAGAGUAUUGAGCAGUCUGAUUGUCAGGCUCAGCAGCAACAACAAUGACAACCACGUUUCCUGGACCUGGUUGAUAAACGCAUCAAACUCCUUCAUCUGCUUCCCAACUUUCCCAGCACAAAGACCUGAAAACAAAUAUGCACAAAAACACCACAAAGUAUCAAGAACAUUUUUUAGAUGCAGCAUCAUUUUAAUAAUGCGUUAUACUUAUCUGAUAUUUAGCAAACGUUGAAGAGAAACGAAGCACAGAUAGCUGUUUGCUGCAAAACCAAGGCGUCGACGAUCAGCUGAUACCAUUGAUAAUCUAGAAGUUGAUAGACUAUGAUAAAUUAUAUGAUUUCCAUUGAUCACGUAACUCGAUCGAACUUCAGGCUAUCACACAAUAAUCCGCAAGUGAAGAGGAAACGUUUUAUAGAGAGAAAGCCGUCUGGCCGUGAUGUUUUUUCCCCUCUGUUACGGCUAUUGCAGGAUGGUAACAUAGAUCUCACAUGUGCCGAUUACCAGCUGAUACUAUUCGUAACCCAUAUGAGCGCGUUAUAUGAUUUUCACUUACUUGAAUUAAUUAAUUAAUUUUAUUGAAAAUCUAUAAACCAACGAUUCCUUCGUAAUCCGCAAAUGAGGAGGAAUCGAUUCGCAAGGGUAUGUUGAUUAUAUACCUACAACAUUCGAUCUUACACCUGUAAUUAUUAGUUGCCCGUGAUGGUUACUUGUUUGGUAAUUUUGCGUUACCUACAUUAUUAAAAAUGCUCAUAAAAUAAAUUAAUAAAUUAAUAAAUGACUAAUUCACUCCUAUUAUUUAUUUAACACAAAAAAAAAUCAGCUGCAGGGAUUAGAACCCCGACUGCAAAAUUAGCAUGCCAGACCUUAGCUACCAAGGCCAACAACUCGAUUACAUAUAAAUUAUUGAAUGUCACAUAUGAUCAUCGUCCCCUCGUAGGGGCUUGAAUUUUGCUUAAAUUUAAGCUUUAGUUGGAACUUACGUUUAAUUUUAAAUUUAAACUUUAAAGUUACAAGAUGGUUCGCAGUAAUUAUAAGGCCUAUAAUAUAUCCCAAUAAAAAAGAAACAAGGCGAUAAAUUUCUUAAACAAUACUAUCGAUAACUCUGAGCUAUUAGACGAUAAUCCGCAAGUGAGGAGGGAACGAUUUAUGCUGUAACAUAUCAUCGAACAUCAUUUAUUAUGAAUAAUCAUUGAUUUUUAGUCGCACCAGUUCAGCGCCCGCAGAUGUGUAGGUACGCUCCAGAAUGCGAGUAUACAUGGGUAAAGAAUCAGGCUAUAAUUCCCUUUGAUAAUGUAGCUUAAUGGAAUUUUGAGUUUUCAGAAGAUAAUCCGCAAGUGAGGAGGAAUUGAUUUAUGCCAUAAUAUGCACCUCAGAUACAUCGAUUAUGCAUAAUUAUACGGUUUUUUGUUCAUUGCUACAGCUCCGCGCUACUUGAAAUGCCGGAACGCGCGGAACGCGAACCGCCGAUACGCCGAGUUUCCCGAUGAAGAGGAAUCGAUUCGUGUAACAAAACAUUACAUUUAGAGAGUUUUUUUAUGAUACUGUGGGAAAAUCAAAUUCCAGCGCCGCGCCUGAAUCGGCGAUUUUCUUUUUGCAAUAUCUCGAAAACGGAAAAUCCGCAAGUGAAAAUUUUUGUGGAGGUUAUUUCCGCAAGUGAGGAGGAAUCGUUUUAGGUAGAGUAAAUUCAUAAAAAAUAAUAUUUUUUUAUUUCGGGCGCCAGCUUCACAAGUCUAACAUUUUCUUAAGUAUUCUUAAGUAUUGGAUGCGCGCGCAGCGGAAAUGCGCGGCCAGCGCAGAGCAUUAAGACGAAUAAUACUUAAUAGAAAAGAAAAAGAAAUGUCAACGGUGCUGAAGCAAUUAAAGCCUCAUAUAAGAGACAAUUUCCGGCUAGAGAGGGCCUAAUCAUCUAGCUGUCGAUCCAGCGACUCCAGCGACCCGCACAUGGAAAUAUGGAUUUUAAAAAAAGCUCUAUACGCAAAAAUAUUCGAAAUACUUGUGAGAUUCCCGCAUAUUAUUUCCUCACUCGCUCGGCCG